AACGAACGCUGGCGGCAUGCCUAACACAUGCAAGUCGAACGAGAUCUUCGGGUCUAGUGGCGCACGGGUGCGUAACGCGUGGGAAUCUGCCCUUUGGUUCGGAAUAACAGUUGGAAACGACUGCUAAUACCGGAUGAUGACGAAAGUCCAAAGAUUUAUCGCCAGAGGAUGAGCCCGCGUAGGAUUAGCUAGUUGGUGUGGUAAAGGCGCACCAAGGCGACGAUCCUUAGCUGGUCUGAGAGGAUGAUCAGCCACACUGGGACUGAGACACGGCCCAGACUCCUACGGAAGGCAGCAGUGGGGAAUAUAGGACACUGGGCGAAAGCCUGAUCCAGCAAUGCCGCGUGAGUGAUGAAGGCCUUAGGGUUGUAAAGCUCUUUUACCCGGGAUGAUAAUGACAGUACCGGGAGAAUAAGCUCCGGCUAACUCCGUGCCAGCAGCCGCCGUAA
RNAcentral lists this ribosomal RNA (449 nucleotides) under uncultured bacterium. RNAcentral's name for it is "partial 16S ribosomal RNA". It matches the Rfam family "Bacterial small subunit ribosomal RNA", at positions 29 to 523 of the family's 1533-position model. The record is from RNAcentral.